RNAcentral lists this ribosomal RNA (465 nucleotides) under uncultured bacterium. RNAcentral describes it as "partial 16S ribosomal RNA". It matches the Rfam family "Bacterial small subunit ribosomal RNA", at positions 28 to 507 of the family's 1533-position model. The record is from RNAcentral.
GAUGAACGCUGGCGGCGUGCUUAACACAUGCAAGUCGAACGAUGAAGCCCAGCUUGCUGGGUGGAUUAGUGGCGAACGGGUGAGUAACACGUGAGAACCUGGCCUUGACCCUGGGGAUAGGCUGGGGAACCGGGUCUUAUUCUGGGUAUGACCUUCCAACCGAUUGUGGGGGGGGGGAAGGUUUAUUGGUCUUGGAUGGAACCGCGGCCUAUCAGCUUGUUGGUGAGGUAAUGGGUCACCAAGGCGACGACGGGUAGCCGGCCUGAGAGGGUGACCGGCCACACUGGGACUGAGACACGGCCCAGACUCCUACGGGAGGCAGCAGUGGGGAAUAUUGCACAAUGGGCGCAAGCCUGAUGCAGCGACGCCGCGUGAGGGAUGACGGCCUUCGGGUUGUAAACCUCUUUCAGUAGGGAAGAAGCGAGAGUGACGGUACCUGCAGAAGAAGCGCCGGCUAACUACGUG